CACUCCCCUUGCUAACUACACCAGCCACCCAAGGUCUGGUGUGGGUAUGAGUGUAAUGGACCUUGAUGCUGCUCCUAUCUACUGCCACGUGUGGUGCCCAUCCCCCAUGCUGGCACUGUGCCAUGUGGACAGCCAGGUGUCCUUCCAGCCCUCCUCAGCUGUGGAGCUGAGUUGACCAAGCUACUGUUAAGCACCUUCUCCCUUCUAGUGGGCUGGCAAGCAUGGCUGUAGGGGGCCCCCACUCUGGCACUAAGCUGCUCCCUUCACAUGAUCAGCCCUGAUCUAUGGCACUAACAACAACCUGGUGAUCUAUCUUCAGUGUGACAUGGACCCCAGCACCUACCACGUGCUGAGCAAUCUCAAGAUUGGAAGCGGGCCCUGUUCCACUGUCUCUGCCUCCAGCACUGCUUCUCUGCACCUCAGGGGUUUGCACUGCUGCUGCAGAUGGCUGCGGGGGUCUGCUAUCCACCAGAUGGCCUGUAAGACCUUCGAAACACCCUUCCCAGGCCCCCUCCAGAAGCUGCUGCCAGCCCCAUGCCCCUACAUAUCACUCCGCUGGGCCUGCUGCUCCUCAUCCUGGACUGCCUCAUCUCAAGCCUGUCGUCACUGCAUACAGAGCUGCUCAUGAAGAGACGGCAGCUGCCCCUGGCACUUCAGAAUGUCUUCCUCUACACCUUUGGUGUGCUCCUGAAUCUAGAUCUGCAUGCCGCUAGUGGCCCCGGCCCAGGCCUCCUGGAAGGCUUGUCAGCAUGGGCAGAACUUGUGGUGCUGAGGCAGGGCUAAAUGGACUGCUCCUGUCAUGUCCGCUGUCAUGAAGCACAGCAGCAGCAUCCCAUGCCUCUUCGUUGUGUCCUGCUCACUGGUGGUCAAUGCCGUGCUCUCAGCAGUCCUGCUGUGGCUGCAGCUCACAGCCACCUUCUUCCUGGCCAUGCUGCUCAUCAUUAGCCUGGCCGUGUGCCCGUGCUAUGGCAGACGCUA
RNAcentral lists this long non-coding RNA (978 nucleotides) under Homo sapiens (human). RNAcentral's name for it is "non-protein coding lnc-GC-3:1". Lineage: Eukaryota; Metazoa; Chordata; Mammalia; Primates; Hominidae. The record is from RNAcentral.